UACGAAGGGGGCUAGCGUUGUCCGGAAUUACUGGGCGUAAAGCGUGCGUAGACGGUUACAUAAGUCGGGUGUGAAAGCCCCGGGCUCAACCUGGGAAUUGCAUUCGAGACUGCGUAGCUAGGGUGCGGAAGAGGGAAGCGGAAUUUCCGGUGUAGCGGUGAAAUGCGUAGAUAUCGGAAGGAACACCAGUGGCGAAAGCGGCUUCCUGGUCCAGCACCGACGUUCAGGCACGAAAGCGUGGGGAGCAAACAGG
This 253-nucleotide ribosomal RNA is filed under the name uncultured bacterium. Its description in RNAcentral is "partial 16S ribosomal RNA". It matches the Rfam family "Bacterial small subunit ribosomal RNA", at positions 524 to 776 of the family's 1533-position model. The record is from RNAcentral.